RNAcentral lists this ribosomal RNA (424 nucleotides) under uncultured bacterium. Its description in RNAcentral is "partial 16S ribosomal RNA". It matches the Rfam family "Bacterial small subunit ribosomal RNA", at positions 354 to 796 of the family's 1533-position model. The record is from RNAcentral.
GUGGGGGAUAUUGCACAAUGGAGGAAACUCUGAUGCAGCGACGCCGCGUGAGUGAAGAAGUAUUUCGGUAUGUAAAGCUCUAUCAGCAGGGAAGAUAAUGACAGUACCUGACUAAGAAGCCCCGGCUAACUACGUGCCAGCAGCCGCGGUAAUACGUAGGGGCAAGCGUUAUCCGGAUUUACUGGGUGUAAAGGGAGCGUAGACGGAAUGGCAAGUCUGAAGUGAAAUCCUGCGGCUUAACUGCAGAAUUGCUUUGGAAACUGUCAAUCUGGAGUGUUGGAGAGGUAAGCGGAAUUCCUGGUGUAGCGGUGAAAUGCGUAGAUAUCAGGAAGAACACCGGAGGCGAAGGCGGCUUACUGGACAAUAACUGACGUUGAGGCUCGAAAGCGUGGGAAGCAAACAGGAUUAGAAACCCCGGUAGUCC